RNA transcript from Zea mays, 345 nucleotides. RefSeq lists it as uncharacterized. The transcript has a single exon. The record is from RefSeq and is marked validated. NCBI's taxonomy places the organism in Eukaryota, Viridiplantae, Streptophyta, Magnoliopsida, Poales, Poaceae.
GUGCCUCCGGUCGACUCGUCGACAUCAUCAGAUCAGCAAUCGACCCUCUGGUCCAGGCGGUGGCUAGCUAGCGCAACGCCCAUGGGGUGGGCGAAGAAGGCGGCAGUGGCGGAGACGACGGCGCGGGUGGUGGACGACAGGUCGACGGUGGACCAGGCGGUGGCGUACGUGCUCAUGGCCGCCGCGCUCGCCGUCACCUACCUCGUGCACUGAGUUCUUCUUCACCAUAGAUCGAUGGAUCGAGAUGGUUGUACAGCUCGCUACUGCUUGACAUCGUUUCUUGUCUCGAUUCGAUGCAUGACUCCAUGUCCUCUCACCAAAAAAAAAAUAAUACAGUAAUUGCCA